This is a long non-coding RNA of Dermochelys coriacea (leatherback sea turtle), 247 nucleotides long. RefSeq lists it as uncharacterized. The record is from RefSeq and is a predicted model, not a curated record. NCBI's taxonomy places the organism in Eukaryota, Metazoa, Chordata, Testudines, Dermochelyidae. The transcript is spliced from 3 exons.
AUAACAAGUAAAAAUGUAACCCUCAGAGAUGUUCCAAUAAGCUUCUUUCACAGACUAGUCUCCUUCUUAGUCUGGGCCCAAUCUUUUCCCCUGGUACAGCACUUGUCAGUUCCAGCAGGCAUCCUAGGUGAAAAGCAGAGGCUUUCUCAUGACUGUUACCCCCUUUGUCCUGCUCCACCACCUUUUAUAGCUUUGUCACAAGGCAGGAAUCCUUUGUCUCUCUGGGUCCCCACCCCUCCUUCUAAAU